RNAcentral lists this ribosomal RNA (468 nucleotides) under uncultured bacterium. Its description in RNAcentral is "partial 16S ribosomal RNA". It matches the Rfam family "Bacterial small subunit ribosomal RNA", at positions 28 to 507 of the family's 1533-position model. The record is from RNAcentral.
GUCGAACGCUGGCGGCGUGCUUAACACAUGCAAGUCGAACGGAAAGGCCCUGCUUUUGUGGGGUGCUCGAGUGGCGAACGGGUGAGUAACACGUGAGUAACCUGCCCUUGACUUUGGGAUAACUUCAGGAAACUGGGGCUAAUACCGGAUAGGAGCUCCUGCUGCAUGGUGGGGGUUGGAAAGUUUCGGCGGUUGGGGAUGGACUCGCGGCUUAUCAGCUUGUUGGUGGGGUAGUGGCUUACCAAGGCUUUGACGGGUAGCCGGCCUGAGAGGGUGACCGGCCACAUUGGGACUGCGAUACGGCCCAGACUCCUACGGGAGGCAGCAGUGGGGAAUAUUGCACAAUGGGCGGAAGCCUGAUGCAGCAACGCCGCGUGCGGGAUGACGGCCUUCGGGUUGUAAACCGCUUUCGCCUGUGACGAAGCGUGAGUGACGGUAAUGGGUAAAGAAGCACCGGCUAACUACGUG